GCCCGCUUAGCUCAGCCGGUAGAGCGUCGAGCCUUUAACUCGACGGUCGCGAGUUCGAGCCUCGCAGUGGGUG
This is a non-coding RNA of Pavlovales sp. CCMP2436, 73 nucleotides long. The record is from the annotation of a GenBank genome assembly. NCBI's taxonomy places the organism in Eukaryota, Haptophyta, Pavlovophyceae, Pavlovales.